AGUGAACGCUGGCGGUAGGCCUAAUACAUGCAAGUCGAACGGAAGCACAGUAAGAGUGCGCCCCUAAGGGUGGCGAGUGGCGGACGGGUGAGAAAUACAUAAGAAACUAAUAUUACGUGGGGGAUAACGGAGGAAAAGAGACGCUAAUAGCGAAUACGACGUACGGGAGAGAGCAAGAGUUAAAGACACUUUGGCCGACUGAAAGAGACGGAGUCGGAUUAGAUAGUUUGGGAGGUAACGGAACAGCAAGGCAACGAUUCGGUGCGGGUCUGAGAGGAGGGUUCGCCCCCCUGGAACUUAGACACGGUCCCGACUCCUACGGGAGGCAGCAGUAGGGAAUCUUCCGCAAUGGGCGACAGCCUGACGCAGCCCCGCCGCGUGGGUGAUGAAGGUCUUCGGAUUUUAAAACCCUUUUGUUGGGAAAGAAAAGCAGCAUGUUAAUACCCCGCCGUUCUGACGGUACCCAAAGAAUAAGCACCGGCUAACUUCGUG
This 492-nucleotide ribosomal RNA is filed under the name uncultured bacterium. Its description in RNAcentral is "partial 16S ribosomal RNA". It matches the Rfam family "Bacterial small subunit ribosomal RNA", at positions 29 to 507 of the family's 1533-position model. The record is from RNAcentral.